GAUGAACGCUAGCUACAGGCUUAACACAUGCAAGUCGAGGGGUAACGAGAGGAAAGCUUGCUUUCCUUGUCGACGACCGGCGCACGGGUGAGUAACGCGUAUCCAACCUGCCCCCAACUAGGGAAUAACCUUGCGAAAGUAAGACUAAUGCCCUAUAAUUUCCUCAGAUGUCAUCUGACGAGGAAUAAAGAUUUAUCGGUUGUGGAUGGGGAUGCGUCUGAUUAGCUUGUUGGCGGGGUACGGCCCACCAAGGCAACGAUCAGUAGGGGUUCUGAGAGGAAGGUCCCCCACAUUGGAACUGAGACACGGUCCAAACUCCUACGGGAGGCAGCAGUGAGGAAUAUUGGUCAAUGGGCGGAAGCCUGAACCAGCCAAGUAGCGUGCAGGAUGACGGCCCUAUGGGUUGUAAACUGCUUUUAUACAGGAAUAAAGUUAGCCACGUGUGGUUAUUUGUAGGUACUGUAUGAAUAAGGACCGGCUAAUUCCGUGCCAGCCGCCGCAGUAA
This 505-nucleotide ribosomal RNA is filed under the name uncultured bacterium. RNAcentral's name for it is "partial 16S ribosomal RNA". It matches the Rfam family "Bacterial small subunit ribosomal RNA", at positions 28 to 523 of the family's 1533-position model. The record is from RNAcentral.